UAGUCAUAUGCUUGUUUCAAGGACUAAGCCAUGCAUGCCUCAGAAUAACUGCAUUGCAGGAAUCUGCGCAUGGCUCAUUACAUCAGACGUAAUCUGCCGCAAAAAAUUGCGGAUCUUCCGUAUCAUUGGAUAACUUGGCGAAACGUCAAGCUAAUACAUGAACAUACUUGGUUCUCCCCUCGCGGGGGCCUAGCGAAUGAAUGAAACUAAAACCAACGCCGCGUAUCCGAGCAGCACUAGCAGUGUUGACUCAAUUCAUUCUGCGUAACGGGGCAACCUGCUUUUGACGAACAACUGCCCUAUCAUGCUCGUUGACAGUGUAGUGAACUGCCAAGGCUUUGACCGGAGCGGGGGAUUAGGGUUCGAUUCCGGAGAGGGAGCCUGAGAAAUAGCUACCACUUCUACGGGAGGCAGCAGGCGCGCAAAUUGCCCAAUGUCGAAAAAAACGAUGAGGCAGCGAAAAGAAAUAGGGCUAGCAGACGGUUUGCGUAUGCGUGUACAAUGGGGGGUAUUUAAUACCACCGAAAAUCGAGUAACAAUUGGAGGACAAGUCUGUGCCAGCACCCGCGGUAAUUCCAGCUCCAAAAGCGUAUAUUAACGCUGUUGCUGUUAAAGGGUUCGUAGUUGAAUUGUGAGCCGUUGAGACGCCGUUACGUCCUGCCUUGUGUAGGGCCUCGGCGCUUGGGCUCGUGAACAUCCGAAACACGUAGCACGGGAAUGGUUCCUACCCCAUUUUCGCAUGUCAUGCAUGCGGGUGGCGCCCGUGGUUUUACUGUGACUAAAAAAGCGCGACCAAAGCAGUCGUCCGACCUGAAUUAUCAAGCAUGGGAUAACAAAUACCCUAUGGUUCUGCCCAUUGGCUUUUGUUGGUUUUAAGGUUACCAUGGACAUUAUAGAGUGGGGUGCCCCUCACGGGGUAUUCUGCGUCGGGGCAACUCGGGGUGGCGCCUUCAUUCUACGAAUGAAGGAGGGUUGUUCGGGGGUAAACGUACGGUUGCGUUAGAGGUGAAAUUCGUAGACCGCAAUCAGACGAACUACAGCGAAGGCAUUUACCAAGGAUACCUUCCUCAAUCAAGAACCAAAGUGUGGAGAUAAAAGAUGAUUAGAGACCAUUGUAGUCCACACCACAAACGGUGACACCCAUGAAUUGGGGAGUUUUUGGUAGCGGCGGGGCGGUUUCGUACCGUUCCCUCGUCGCUCCAAUGAUCUUAACUUACGUACAUAUUCGACAUGGAGUCCGCUCUGCGCGGGCUCCAGUUACGGGAAUAUCCUCAGCACGUUUUCUUUACCUUCACGCGAAAGCUUUGAGGUUAUAGUCUCAGGGGGGAGUACGUUCGCAAGUGUGAAAUUAAAGAUAUUGAUGGAAUGGCACCACAAGACGUGGAGCGUGCGGUUUAAUUUGAGUCAACACGGGGAACUUUACCAGAUCCGGAGUGGGUGAGGAUUGACAGAUUGAUAGCUCUUUCUCGAUCCCUACAAUGGUGGUGCAUGGCCGCUUUUGGUCGGUGGAGUGAUUUGUUUGGUUGAUUCCGUCAACGGACGAGAUCCAAGCUGCCCAGUAGGAACAAGGAUUGCCCAAUCAAGACAGCGAUCUUCUCUCGACCUCGGUCGGGAGGAGCUACCUCUGGUUUGUUUCUUCUCUGCAGGAUUCCUUGCCCUCCGCAAGGUGAGAUUUUGGGCAACAGCAGGUCUGUGAUGCUCCUCGAUGUUCUGGGCGACACGCGCACUACAAUGUCAGUGAGAACAAGAUUCCCGUAACAAGGAGUCCCGCGUUCAAAGACGCGGGAAUCACGGAAUCACGUAGACCCGAUUGGGACCGAGGAUUGCAAUUAUUGGUCGCGCAACGAGGAAUGUCUCGUAGGCGCAGCUCAUCAAACUGCGCCGAUUACGUCCCUGCCAUUUGUACACACCGCCCGUCGUUGUUUCCGAUUGUUGGCGCAGUGAAGUCCAACGGACCGGCGCUCUUCCGGGAGCCGGGAUGUUGGUUGACACUGUAUCAUUAGAGGAAGCAAAAGUGCUUCAAUAGAGG
RNAcentral lists this ribosomal RNA (2029 nucleotides) under Cryptobia helicis. RNAcentral's name for it is "SSU rRNA". It matches the Rfam family "Eukaryotic small subunit ribosomal RNA". Lineage: Eukaryota; Euglenozoa; Kinetoplastea; Parabodonida; Parabodonidae. The record is from RNAcentral.